UGGCUAAACACUCUAUGGAUUUUGAUCACUGACCUUCAUCAGAAUAUGUGCUCUCCAGUCUUGUUGAUAAGAACAAUCUACAUACACAUUGUAUCAGGCUAAAAGUUGCUUUUGUGGGUCUCAUUUCAUUCUCACUGGUUCAUCUUCAUCCUUAAGCAGACAAGUUUUUAAAUAUUUUUCAAAUAUUUGCCCAUCAAUUUAAACAACAACAACAAAACACAGGUAAUUCUGCUGUCCUGCUGCAGCCGAGGCGUCACUUCCAUAUCACUUUCAUUUAAAAUCCACUCUGUGGCCUCAAGUGAGCUACCACCUUUAAGACCAGUUCAUACUACAAACAGAAUGAUGGAGAGAUGUGAGACACCAUGCACAUUUAAUCAGGCAGACAGAGUGCUUGGAUCUUCUCCUUUGCCCUCAGUGCUACACCAUCUGGGCUUGCUCAUCAGAGCCUCACCCCUGUGCCGAGAGAAUGAUAAUUGGUAUCAUAUGCUUGUGACAUGAUGAAAUAUUAUCAUAACUGCUGAGCUAUUAUCCAUGGUGUCAGAAGCAGGACACUAAUAAUCAGCUACAUCUCAAACUUGAUAUAUCUACAACAGCAAAAUGAUGACAAUAAUAAUAACUCUAAAUUGAAUUGUGAAAUAACUUUUAAAGCCAGGCCUGAAACUCCACCUCAAUAAUCUAUUCCCAGUUUCUCAUUUUUGUUCCAAGUGACAAAGCUUUUGUACCCACAAAUGACUUUUUAACAUAUAUCUCUUCAUUGCUUGGCAAUUGUGCCUUUCAGAAGUAGAAACUUCUUAAAACACAAGUUCUCAGAGCUUCCAACUUCACUUCUCACACCUUUAUCAGUUGUAUGUAAAGGUUGCAUUUACAAAAUUCCAGGUAUCUAGCUUCUCAGCUUCCAGCAGUGUUCCUUAGUAUCUGAAGCCAAUGCCAGUCCAAUGCUAACACCAGUCUAGUGGUCACAUCCUCCACAGACCCAUCCUCUCCUAAAUCUCCAAUUCACUUCCUGAUUCCUCAGUAUAUCAACACAACCAGGUCAUUAAUUCAUCGUGAAGCUUGACACAGGACAUUGCAGAGUUGUGUGUGUUUUCCUCAUAGUCAUCUAUGCUGAGUUUUACUCUUUUAUAUUGUCCUUAGGCUUGAUUGAACCAUGAUUACUCAUGGCUACUUUUUAUUAAUAAGCACUUCUGCUUAUAAGUUCUCACACUGACUCUGAUUCGACCAUUAAAGAUUGAUUUAGUGUUAGCAUACUGAAAAUAAUAAUACUCAGGUAAAGCAUUUUCUUUUCAAAAGAAUGAGGGCAGCCAAUAGUUUCCUAUAAUAUACAGCAUACAGCAACCAAUAUUAAAAAAGCUACCUUUGCAUGCAUGUGUGUGUGUGGGUGUGUGUGUUUUCAGUGAUUUUGUUUGUAAGACGGAUGCAUUAACUUAAAAGUAAGCUACAAAGAUAUAAACUCAGACUAUUAUAUAGGCUAUUACUGAAGCCUAUUUUGUAUUUCCCCAGACAAAAUUCAAUCCUUGUUGUUUUUGUUCCACUUUAUUUACAAAUCAUUUACUGAACUGUCAGUUCUCCGACUGCACGCUUUGUCAGAAGUAUAACUGUUAUGUUACACUUACAAAUAAAGCCAC
Long non-coding RNA from Hemibagrus wyckioides, 1625 nucleotides. RefSeq lists it as uncharacterized. Lineage: Eukaryota; Metazoa; Chordata; Actinopteri; Siluriformes; Bagridae. The transcript has 3 exons. The record is from RefSeq and is a predicted model, not a curated record.